AGAGUGAACGCUGGCGGCAGGCCUAACACAUGCAAGUCGAACGGCAGCACAGGGGAGCUUGCUCCCUGGGUGGCGAGUGGCGGACGGGUGAGGAAAACGUCGGAAUCUGCCUAUUUGUGGGGGAUAACGUAGGGAAACUUACGCUAAUACCGCAUACGACCUACGGGUGAAAGCGGAGGACCUUCGGGCUUCGCGCAGAUAGAUGAGCCGACGUCGGAUUAGCUAGUUGGCGGGUAAAGCCCACCAAGGCGACGAUCCGUAGCUGGUCUGAGAGGAUGAUCAGCCACACUGGAACUGAGACACGGUCCAGACUCCUACGGGGGGCAGCAGUGGGGAAUAGUUGGACAAUGGGCGCAAGCCUGAUCCAGCCAUGCCGCGUGUGUGAAGAAGGCCUUGGUGUAAAGCUACUUUUAGUCCGGAAAGAAAAGCGAACCGGUUAAUACCCUGGUGUCGAUGGACCGGUACGGAAGAAGUAAGCGACCGGCUAACGUUCGU
Molecule: ribosomal RNA, 495 nt
Filed under: uncultured soil bacterium
Lineage: Bacteria
Description: bacterial SSU rRNA
Rfam family: Bacterial small subunit ribosomal RNA
Source: RNAcentral